RNAcentral lists this unclassified non-coding RNA (721 nucleotides) under Hevea brasiliensis (rubber tree). Lineage: Eukaryota; Viridiplantae; Streptophyta; Magnoliopsida; Malpighiales; Euphorbiaceae. The record is from RNAcentral.
GCUAAAUCCAAAAAAGAGUCUAACCAUGGCAGCAACAGCUCUUCUCUCAUCUCCUCCAUUGCCUUCUUCAUCUAAUCAUUCUAUCCUUUCAACUCCCUUAAAAAAGCAGAGCAAGAUUCUGUGGAACCAAAAAAAAUGUGGGAAAUUCAGGGUAUGUUCAGAGUUUUGCAAAGAACCCACUUCCCAAUAUGGGGUUUCCAGAAGAGACUUGACCUUCAUUGCUCUUUCCUCUUCACUGUCUCUAAUUUUCCCAUUUUCAGGUUUUACUGCUGAAGAAGAGUUGAAAAUGGGUUCGUCUGUUGAUGACAUAAAUGCCUAUUCCUACUUGUAUCCUAUUGAAAUACCAUCUAAGAAGUUCGCCUUCAAAUGGGUGGAAACCAGAAAAUCGGAGCGGUAUUCAUCGGCUGCGCCACUAUCACCUGAUGCACGCCUUCGCAUUGUGUCUGAACGAGUUGACAUCAUUGAUAAUCUCAUCAUUUCUGUUUCGAUAGGUCCUCCCAACUCACAGUUCUUGAAAUCAAAGGAGAAAAGUACAUGGAGUGCAAAGGAUGUUGCUGAUUCUGUUUUGUCUGAUAAAUCUGCUUUGCGUGUAACCUCAACACAGCGAUUGGCAGAAAGUUCACUUCUUGAUGCACAUGCUUCUGAAAUUGAUGGUGAGUCCUAUUGGUACUAUGAAUACCUUGUUCGGAAAUCACCAACGAAAGCAGCAGCUCUAGAACCG